UCCCCAGAGCCUUGCAGAUGGGACCCUAUCAAUGUUGCCUCUGCUCUCAGCAGCAUUUCUCAGUAGUGCAAUAUUGCUUAUAGGGUGUCGUCUGUGGGGGACU
Molecule: microRNA precursor, 103 nt
Filed under: Oryzias latipes (Japanese medaka)
Lineage: Eukaryota; Metazoa; Chordata; Actinopteri; Beloniformes; Adrianichthyidae
Also listed under: 1 other name
Description: mir-454 microRNA precursor family
Rfam family: mir-454 microRNA precursor family
Source: Rfam by way of RNAcentral